This 476-nucleotide ribosomal RNA is filed under the name uncultured microorganism. RNAcentral describes it as "bacterial SSU rRNA". It matches the Rfam family "Bacterial small subunit ribosomal RNA", at positions 9 to 524 of the family's 1533-position model. The record is from RNAcentral.
GAGUUUGAUCCUGGCUCAGAGCGAACGCUGGCGGCAGGCUUAACACAUGCAAGUCGAGCGGGCCCUUCGGGUCGAGCGGCGGACGGGUGAGUAACGCGUGGGAACGGUGCCUUCUGGUUCGGAAUAACCCUGGGAACUAGGGCGUAAUACCGGAUACGCCCUUUUGGGGUAAAGGGUUUACUGCCGGAAGAUCGGACCCGCGUCUGAUUAGCUAGUUGGUGGGGUAAUGGCCUACCAAGGCGACGAUCAGUAGCUGGUCUGAGAGGAUGAUCAGCCACACUGGGACUGAGACACGGCCCAGACUCCUACGGGAGGCAGCAGUGGGGAAUAUUGGACAAUGGGCGCAAGCCUGAUCCAGCCAUGCCGCGUGAGUGAUGAAGGGCCUUAGGGUUGUAAAGCGUCUUUUAUCCGGGACGAUAAAUGACGGUACCGGAGGAAUAAGCCCCGGCUAACUUCGUGCCAGCCGCCGCCGUAAC